RNAcentral lists this ribosomal RNA (1329 nucleotides) under uncultured bacterium. RNAcentral describes it as "bacterial SSU rRNA". It matches the Rfam family "Bacterial small subunit ribosomal RNA", at positions 28 to 1381 of the family's 1533-position model. The record is from RNAcentral.
GAUGAACGCUGGCGGCGCGCCUAACACAUGCAAGUCGAACGGCACCUGCCUUCGGGCAGAAGCGAGUGGCGAACGGCUGAGUAACACGUGGAGAACCUGCCCCCUCCCCCGGGAUAGCCGCCCGAAAGGACGGGUAAUACCGGAUACCCCCGGGCGCCGCAUGGCGCCCGGGCUAAAGCCCCGACGGGAGGGGAUGGCUCCGCGGCCCAUCAGGUAGACGGCGGGGUGACGGCCCACCGUGCCGACAACGGGUAGCCGGGUUGAGAGACCGACCGGCCAGAUUGGGACUGAGACACGGCCCAGACUCCUACGGGAGGCAGCAGUGGGGAAUCUUGCGCAAUGGGGGGAACCCUGACGCAGCGACGCCGCGUGCGGGACGGAGGCCUUCGGGUCGUAAACCGCUUUCAGCAGGGAAGAGUCAAGACUGUACCUGCAGAAGAAGCCCCGGCUAACUACGUGCCAGCAGCCGCGGUAAUACGUAGGGGGCGAGCGUUAUCCGGAUUCAUUGGGCGUAAAGCGCGCGUAGGCGGCCCGGCAGGCCGGGGUCUCAAAACCGGGGGGCUCAACCCCCCGAAGCCCCCGGAACCUCCGCGGCUUGGGUCCGGUAGGGGAGGGUGGAACACCCGGUGUAGCGGUGGAAUGCGCAGAUAUCGGGUGGAACACCGGUGGCGAAGGCGGCCCUCUGGGCCGAGACCGACGCUGAGGCGCGAAAGCUGGGGGAGCGAACAGGAUUAGAUACCCUGGUAGUCCCAGCCGUAAACGAUGGACGCUAGGUGUGGGGGGACGAUCCCCCCGUGCCGCAGCCAACGCAUUAAGCGUCCCGCCUGGGGAGUACGGCCGCAAGGCUAAAACUCAAAGGAAUUGACGGGGGCCCGCACAAGCAGCGGAGCAUGUGGCUUAAUUCGAAGCAACGCGAAGAACCUUACCAGGGCUUGACAUAUGGGUGAAGCGGGGGAGACCCCGUGGCCGAGAGGAGCCCAUACAGGUGGUGCAUGGCUGUCGUCAGCUCGUGUCGUGAGAUGUUGGGUUAAGUCCCGCAACGAGCGCAACCCCCGCCGCGUGUUGCCAUCGGGUGAUGCCGGGAACCCACGCGGGACCGCCGCCGUCAAGGCGGAGGAGGGCGGGGACGACGUCAAGUCAUCAUGCCCCUUAUGCCCUGGGCUGCACACGUGCUACAAUGGCCGGUACAGAGGGAUGCCACCCCGCGAGGGGGAGCGGAUCCCGGAAAGCCGGCCCCAGUUCGGAUUGGGGGCUGCAACCCGCCCCCAUGAAGUCGGAGUUGCUAGUAAUCGCGGAUCAGCAUGCCGCGGUGAAUGCGUUCCCGGGCCU